GCACCUAUUUGCGGCAGAGUACUGCCGCGCUGCCCGCCCCUGUUCGAUGCUCAAGACGUCGUGCCUGCACUCGCCUGGUGAUGCGCGUCCGAGGCGUGGUCGGCCUCCAGGUCGUGCACCGGGUACGCCUCCAGGUCCUGCAUGGGGAAAUUCUUCUGCUCCUGGAGGAGGGCGUUGUCGGAGGGCUGUGUCGGCUGUUUCUUCUGCCGACUGAGCCUCAACGUAUCUUGGCCUGUAGGCCUCCAGGAAUCCAUGGUUUUCUGAACAAUUUGGAAAUGAGAAUACCACUCCGUUUGUACAUGAAGAAUUUUUUUCACGUUUUCCAGAAAUUUACAUAUGAUUGAUACAGCUGUGUCCCGAUCUGCUGAAGCAAAACUUACCAACAUCAUUUUGUGACUUCAUUUAUCAAACCGAAUCAUAAUUUUGAGAGCUAGGUUGUCAGUUUGUUUUCUGAACCAAGCUAGCCCGACCAACUACGAGGUAUAGUAAUCGAUGCUAAAGUCAUGACCUGACUCCAGAAAUCUUCAUGCUCGCCAAACAUUUUAAUUAGCUCUAUAGAGUAGCUCAUGCCUCAGCAGAUCUACAUUUUAUAUGUUGGAUCUAUGUGGUGCCAGUCAGUUAGUUAAUCAGUUAAGUCGUCCAUUCAGGCUAACUGUCUGCUCAAUCAAACGAUGAACUUAGCCGACUAAAUAGGGUGACUAUUUCAGUGAUUAGUCAGAAUUUGGUCUAAAAAUGCAUUGCUCUGGUGAGAGUAGGAGUAGUACUAAUUAUAUUUUGUUUACUUUGGCCUACUUAAUAUGUCGUAUCUGCUUACUUAUGGCUGCUCAUUUUCCUGUUAUUAAUGUAAUGCUGCUUCUUUCAUCUGAGGUUUCAACCAGCAUGUUCUGACUUAGAAGUCUGUUCAUAUUUCUGAUUCAGAACAUCAAAGCAUGGAGCACCAUCUGCCAGGGCUGUAAAGUAUACAUAUGGUUGCUUAUUUAAUGGCCUUCUGGCUAUACUAUGAUGCAUCUGUUAGUGGUCUGAAUAAGAACUAAUAUGAUGGCGCCAACAAGUAACAGUGUUAGUUCAGUUGUACAGCAUGUGCUGACAUAUGCAAUUUAGUCGGUAUUAUUUGCUACUCAUUUUCAUGGAGCAAAAUCAGAAACCUUCUUAAUAGCAGCCUGGCUAUUCCAAUAGACUCCAUUUCUUGAAUGAAUUUAUUAGUUCCUUACUUCUUGGUAGCUAUCUAGCAUCACUGCUCUUUUACUUUCUGCUUUUGUCUUGCAGCUAACUGUUUGAAAGUGAUAUGCUCAAUGGUGAGUUCUCCAGUUCUUGGUGCAGGUGUCUUCGACUUCAUAGAUUUGUAAUCACCGUGGGGAGUAAAUUUAGACUCUGCACAUCAGGUCAUUUUGCUCAAAGGAUAAUUUCAUAUCUUUCCUUUUUCAGUUAUGUGCUAAAAUGUUUGGUGAGGUAUCAUCUUAGUAUAGUCAGGCGCAUCCGGUUGGUCACCGUCGCAUCUCUAAUUCUAUAUAUACAUUGUGCGGAAGACAUUGCCCAUGGCUUCUUGGUCCCUUGCGAUGAAAGCUAGUGUGGCUUUCGCGUUACAUUCGGAAAUCAUGUUGCUGGAGAAGCAUCGAGGGACCUUGCAUGCUGAGGUAUAUAAGGUGCUCUUCUUGGUUAGGAAUUUUCAACUUCGUGAUGGCAGUAUUCGAAGAAUUGAUUGGACCUACUUAUAUCAUGUAGCAGCUGUAGCUUGUGUCCGCAUGAGUUUUUUGUAGUGGAAAGUCCAAAAUCAGUAAUGGUUGUUUCUGAGUGUUUUGGCUUGCUCCUACGUUGGCUGGCAGUUAUGUUCUACAGCCUGUAAUCGAUGUGGAAGUGUUAUGUGUUUUCCCUUUGAA
This is a long non-coding RNA of Lolium rigidum, 1877 nucleotides long. RefSeq lists it as uncharacterized. The transcript has 2 exons. The record is from RefSeq and is a predicted model, not a curated record. Lineage: Eukaryota; Viridiplantae; Streptophyta; Magnoliopsida; Poales; Poaceae.